This is a long non-coding RNA of Bos taurus (domestic cattle), 1389 nucleotides long. NCBI's taxonomy places the organism in Eukaryota, Metazoa, Chordata, Mammalia, Artiodactyla, Bovidae. The record is from Ensembl.
CGCCACACCUGAACACAAGGAGCAGGUCAAGUGAAUUCAAGGAAAGGAUGAAUCUGGUUCAUUCUCUCUGCAAGAUUUUAUUGGAUUCAGUGGACUAUAAGAUCCUUCAUUUAUCCAGUUUUCUCCCCCCAGUAAUUAUCUAUCAAUUUAUCUCUCUAUCUGAAUAUAUGUGUGUGUGUGUGUCAUAAAGAAUAUGACAUUACUCAGUAAGUUUGUAAAAGCCAGGACAGACUUAUUCUUUGCAUCCUCAUGGCACCAAUACCGACACAACAUGUGGCAUUGGGUUUCUGCCCUGGGGGCACCCAACUCCGUCUGCAGAUGACAACACUGGUGCCCAGACAAGAAUGUACUGUUUGCCCAAAGUCAUACACAUCAGUGACCAAACCCACACAGCUCCUCUGUCUCCUGAUUCAGCUCUGGUGCUCUUUGCCCUCUGCUGGCCUUCCUCUCUCUCCUGCCUUUGUAGACACGGGAAGGAACACAAGCAGGAGAAUCUGAGAAAGCGAGAGAGGAGCAUGAGAGAAUGGGAGGGAUAGGAACUGACUCCUGUAGAGCAGUAACAAUACUGGGGAACAAACUCUGGGUGACUGUGAGGUUUAAGAAGCGCUCUGCUCUCCAAUAACAUGUGGAAGUAAGCGGGAGGGAGUGAGGAGCGGGUGAGUGAGGAGAAAGAGGGAAAGGCCAGGCUGGGUUUCUGAGGCUCCAGUCAGCAGAGGCCACGGGGGAUGAGAAGAACAAAGGCGUUCAGGCUGCAGCUCUCUCUGGUCCCUGGAGAAGCAAUGGCAGCACCACGCAGCCUCUCCAGGCUCUCUUCCCACGGCAGCCUCAGGGCUGGGCCGGGGCUGAGCCCCAGGAGCGCUGUCAGAAUCCAGAGGAUUUCCCUCUCAGGUCUGCAGCAUGUGAGGACUGUCACGUGGAGGAGUGCUGUUUUCUCCAAGCCAGCUGACCUGCCACAGACAGCGUGGAUGGGGCCUGUGCAGUCAUGGUUUUUCAAGAGGAUUCUCAGUCCUGCCUGUGCCAAGCUGUUCUAUUCAGAUGUCUCAGCCCACAUUACUUCAAGCCAUGAAGUAUCCAGUUACUUAGCUGGUGAGUGGCUCAGCAUGAACUGUGUUACCCAAUUCUGGUCCAUCGGACAUAAGAGCGUGGCAGAGGUGGGAAGGGAGGGCACGUCUGGAGAAGACUUCCUCACGCCUAAGAAGAGAGAUAAGACAAGUCACCACUCCCUCCCCUUUAUUUCCUCUGGACAUUAAAACUGUGUGCAUGUGACUUUGGGGACCACCACAGAUACAUAUUCUCCUUGAGCUGAGCCAGAUCAAAGUAAAGUGGAAAAGUGCGAAGCCCCCAGUCCUAAUGAAGCCGCUGGACCACUGUGUUAACAACCCCAGCACU